Molecule: microRNA, 23 nt
Filed under: Caenorhabditis remanei
Lineage: Eukaryota; Metazoa; Nematoda; Chromadorea; Rhabditida; Rhabditidae
Description: crm-miR-60-5p
Gene: crm-miR-60-5p
Source: miRBase by way of RNAcentral
AGCUAGAAAGGUGACAUAAAAUC